CGCGGGGUGGAGUAGUAGGUCAACUCGUGAGGCUCAUGAUCUCAAAACGUAGGUUCAAAUCCUGCCCCCGCGU
This 73-nucleotide transfer RNA is filed under the name Geranium maderense. RNAcentral describes it as "tRNA-Met". It matches the Rfam family "tRNA". From Rfam's summary of the family: Transfer RNA (tRNA) molecules are approximately 80 nucleotides in length. Their secondary structure includes four short double-helical elements and three loops (D, anti-codon, and T loops). Further hydrogen bonds mediate the characteristic L-shaped molecular structure. tRNAs have two regions of fundamental functional importance: the anti-codon, which is responsible for specific mRNA codon recognition, and the 3' end, to which the tRNAs corresponding amino acid is attached (by aminoacyl-tRNA synthetases). tRNAs cope with the degeneracy of the genetic code in two manners: having more than one tRNA (with a specific anti-codon) for a particular amino acid; and 'wobble' base-pairing, i.e. permitting non-standard base-pairing at the 3rd anti-codon position. Lineage: Eukaryota; Viridiplantae; Streptophyta; Magnoliopsida; Geraniales; Geraniaceae. The record is from RNAcentral.